AGCAGUCGCCGCGGUAAUACAGAGGGUGCGAGCGUUAAUCGGAUUUACUGGGCGUAAAGCGUGCGUAGGCGGCUUUUUAAGUCGGAUGUGAAAUCCCUGAGCUUAACUUAGGAAUUGCAUUCGAUACUGGGAAGCUAGAGUAUGGGAGAGGAUGGUAGAAUUCCAGGUGUAGCGGUGAAAUGCGUAGAGAUCUGGAGGAAUACCGAUGGCGAAGGCAGCCAUCUGGCCUAAUACUGACGCUUAGGUACGAAAGCAUGGGGAGCAAACAGGAUUAGAUACCCCCGUAGUCCCUGUCUCUUAUAC
RNAcentral lists this ribosomal RNA (303 nucleotides) under uncultured bacterium. Its description in RNAcentral is "partial 16S ribosomal RNA". It matches the Rfam family "Bacterial small subunit ribosomal RNA", at positions 507 to 807 of the family's 1533-position model. The record is from RNAcentral.